This 304-nucleotide small nuclear RNA is filed under the name Castor canadensis (American beaver). Its description in RNAcentral is "7SK RNA (ENSCCNG00000002430.1)". It matches the Rfam family "7SK RNA". Rfam says of the family: 7SK was discovered as an abundant small nuclear RNA in the mid-70s but a possible function has only recently been suggested. The record is from Rfam by way of RNAcentral. Lineage: Eukaryota; Metazoa; Chordata; Mammalia; Rodentia; Castoridae.
GGAUGUGAGGGCGAUCUGGCUGCGACAUCUGUCACCCCAUUGAUCGCCAGGGUUGAUUCGGCUGAUCUGGCUGGCUAGGCGGGUGUCCCCUUCCUCUCUCACCGCUCCAUGUGCAUCCCUCCCGAAGCUGCGUGCUCGGUCGAAGAGGACGACCAUCCCCGAUAGAGGAGGACCGUUCUUCGGUCAAGGGUAUACGAGUAGCUGCGCUCCCCUGCUAGAACCUCCAAACAAGCUCUCAAAGUUGGGCUUAGGGCUCACACUGAUGUCCUGGCAAUGUGUCUUGAACAGUAAUAUGUGGCUGUAU